UACUCCUACGGGAGGCAGCAGUGGGGAAUCUUGGACAAUGGGGGCAACCCUGAUCCAGCCAUGCCGCGUGAGUGAUGAAGGCCCUAGGGUCGUAAAGCUCUUUCGCCUGUGAAGAUAAUGACGUAGCAGUAAGAGUCAUUCC
This 142-nucleotide ribosomal RNA is filed under the name uncultured bacterium. Its description in RNAcentral is "partial 16S ribosomal RNA". It matches the Rfam family "Bacterial small subunit ribosomal RNA", at positions 334 to 472 of the family's 1533-position model. The record is from RNAcentral.